CAAUAGCGUAUAUUAAAGUUGUUGCAGUUAAAAAGCUCGUAGUUGGAUUUCUGGUGGGAGCGAUCGGUCUGGCGCUUAGCGCGAGUACUUGCAUCGUCUCCGGCCAUCCUUGGGGAAAGUCUGUCUGGCAUUAAGUUGUCGGGCAGAGGAUCCUCAUCGUUUACUGUGAAAAAAUUAGAGUGUUCAAAGCAGGCUUAUGCCGUUGAAUAUAUUAGCAUGGAAUAAUAAGAUAGGACUUUGGUACUAUUUUGUUGGUUUGCGCACCAAAGUAAUGAUUAAUAGGGACAGUUGGGGGUAUUCGUAUUCCGUUGACAGAGGUGAAAUUCUUGGAUUUACGGAAGACGAACUACUGCGAAAGCAUUUACCAAGGAUGUUUUCAUUAA
This 383-nucleotide ribosomal RNA is filed under the name uncultured eukaryote. Its description in RNAcentral is "partial 18S ribosomal RNA". It matches the Rfam family "Eukaryotic small subunit ribosomal RNA", at positions 592 to 976 of the family's 1831-position model. The record is from RNAcentral.